Prolemur simus (greater bamboo lemur) is the source of this 114-nucleotide unclassified non-coding RNA. It matches the Rfam family "Y RNA". Rfam says of the family: Y RNAs are components of the Ro ribonucleoprotein particle (Ro RNP), in association with Ro60 and La proteins. The Y RNAs and Ro60 and La proteins are well conserved, but the function of the Ro RNP is not known. In humans the RNA component can be one of four small RNAs -- hY1, hY3, hY4 and hY5. The record is from Ensembl. NCBI's taxonomy places the organism in Eukaryota, Metazoa, Chordata, Mammalia, Primates, Lemuridae.
GGCUGGUCGGAAGGUAAUGAAUUAUCUCACUUGAUUGUUCACAGUCAGUUAAAGAUUGAACUCCUUGUUCUACUACUUUCCCCCCUCCUCACUACUGCACCUGACUAGUCUUAA